Non-coding RNA from Vicia faba (fava bean), 240 nucleotides. The record is from the annotation of a GenBank genome assembly. Lineage: Eukaryota; Viridiplantae; Streptophyta; Magnoliopsida; Fabales; Fabaceae.
AUGUUGAAGUUUGAAGAUUGUUUAUCUCUUGAUGUGGAGGGAAGGAGUGGCGGUCUAGCAGUAUCCACCCUCACCCAAAUUGGUUCUGAUAUUCCUAUUAAAGGUCAGCAAUUUACAUGGACUAAAAGUCGGGGCACUGGCCAUUUGGUGGAGGAGAGUUUGGAUCGAGCUUUGGAAACUUCGGAUUGGAUGGACUUGUUUCCUAAUGUUAAUCUUGUAAAUCAUAUUGCUUCUCAGUAG